This 497-nucleotide ribosomal RNA is filed under the name uncultured bacterium. RNAcentral's name for it is "partial 16S ribosomal RNA". It matches the Rfam family "Bacterial small subunit ribosomal RNA", at positions 28 to 507 of the family's 1533-position model. The record is from RNAcentral.
GAUGAACGCUGGCGGCGUGCCUAAUACAUGCAAGUCGAGCGAACAGACGAGGAGCUUGCUCCUCUGACGUUAGCGGCGGACGGGUGAGUAACACGUGGAUAACCUACCUAUAAGACUGGGAUAACUUCGGGAAACCGGAGCUAAUACCGGAUAAUAUAUUGAACCGCAUGGUUCAAUAGUGAAAGACGGUUUUGCUGUCACUUAUAGAUGGAUCCGCGCCGCAUUAGCUAGUUGGUAAGGUACCGGCUUACCAAGGCGAGGAGGCGUAGCCGACCUGAGAGGGUGAUCGGCCACACGGGAACGGAGACACGGUCCAGACUCCUACGGGAGGCAGCAGUAGGGAAUCUGCCGCAAUGGGCGAAAGCCUGACGGAGCAACGCCGCGUGAGUGAUGAAGGUCUUCGGAUCGUAAUACUCUGUUAUUAGGGAAGAACAAAUGUGUAAGUAACUAUGCACGUCUUGACGGUACCUAAUCAGAAAGCCACGGCUAACUACGUG